This 486-nucleotide ribosomal RNA is filed under the name uncultured Rhizophagus. RNAcentral's name for it is "SSU rRNA". It matches the Rfam family "Eukaryotic small subunit ribosomal RNA", at positions 562 to 1052 of the family's 1831-position model. The record is from RNAcentral. Lineage: Eukaryota; Fungi; Glomeromycota; Glomeromycetes; Glomerales; Glomeraceae.
UGGUGCCAGCAGCCGCGGUAAUUCCAGCUCCAAUAGCGUAUAUUAAAGUUGUUGCAGUUAAAAUGCUCGUAGUUGAAUUUCGGGGUUAGUAGGUUGGUCAUGCCUCUGGUAUGUACUGGUCUCACUGAUUCCUCCUUCCUGAUGAACCGUAAUGCCAUUAAUUUGGUGUUGCGGGGAAUUUGGACUGUUACUUUGAAAAAAUUAGAGUGUUUAAAGCAAGCUAACGCUUGAAUACAUUAGCAUGGAAUAAUGAAAUAGGACGUUCGAUCCUAUUUUGUUGGUUUCUAGGAUUGACGUAAUGAUUAAUAGGGAUAGUUGGGGGCAUUAGUAUUCAAUUGUCAGGGGUGAAAUUCUUGGAUUUAUUGAAGACUAACUACUGCGAAAGCAUUUGCCAAGGAUGUUUUCAUUAAUCAAGAACGAAAGUUAGGGGAUCGAAGACGAUCAGAUACCGUCGUAGUCUUAACCAUAAACUAUGCCGACUAGGGA